UAUAUACAGUGAGACAAAACGAUGAGCGCAUCUGCAUCGAAGCUCUCAGAGCUGAUAGUUUAUAUCUGCGUCCUUUUUGUGCAGUACAGUACAGAAUACAUCCUGUAUCCAACUAAUGCAGAGUAUAUUCAAGUUGCCAACACACUGGCUGUGAAGAACCCUUUCCAGAGAAAUAUAAAAGGAAAUGACUGUCACACCUGACACAUCCCUAAACCGGAAAUUUAAAGCAGAACGUGCUCCACUUGCAGGUUAUUGUAGCAUAUGUAAGCACACUGCCAUAUGCAUAAUUUAUUUUUGCACUGUUAAUCAAUUUUACAUUUUCACUUCAAUGUAAGGAAGAUACUGUACUACAGAUAUUUAAAUCUUUUUUUGUAUCUACUCCACUUUUU
Molecule: long non-coding RNA, 389 nt
Organism: Cyprinus carpio carpio
Lineage: Eukaryota; Metazoa; Chordata; Actinopteri; Cypriniformes; Cyprinidae
Source: Ensembl